RNAcentral lists this long non-coding RNA (224 nucleotides) under Elaeis guineensis (African oil palm). RNAcentral's name for it is "long non-coding RNA (EGUI_LNC035432)". Lineage: Eukaryota; Viridiplantae; Streptophyta; Magnoliopsida; Arecales; Arecaceae. The record is from RNAcentral.
UACUGCAUCAACCAGAUAGAUACUAUGAUUUCUUAGUCUGGGAUGGUGAUCCAGUUGAAUUCGAUGAGAAUAAUAAGGAUCCGAUCACCUAUAUGGAUGCGAUGCAGAGGUCUGACUCUAAUAAGUGGCUGGAAGCCAUAAAAUCCAAAAUGAACUCCAUGAAAGUCAACAAUGUAUGGACAUUGGUUGAUCCAUCUGAAGGGGUAAAAUUCAUAGUGGGUCUU